AAGAGGUUAGGUUGUCAUGCCAUGGAAGAAGCCCAAAGCCUGGUUUAUCUUCUUUAGGUUUGAAGAAAGACAGGAGGUUUUGCUUUCAUUUGAUUUUUGCAUUGCUUUGUUGUUCACUAUGGGGGCAAGGUUGCCCAUAUGAAAAAAACUGACUGGACACCUGAACUUAGAGCUUACUUGGCCUUGAUGAGGAAGGUUGGCCUCAGAAAUCAGUUGCAGACCACACCAGAACAGAACAUCUCAUCCUGCCCAGAUCUGGAGUGUCAGACACUGAGAAUAAAACAAUCUCAGGGGAAUUAGAAUCGUUGAGGGAGGAAGAUGGGGAGUCAUGAAAAAUCCAUUUCUGUUCCUCUGCCCAUGAAAACUGGGUGGAAGAGAACUGUAUUCUACUACAAGAAGAUGGAGUAGAGGAAUUUUGUUGUCUCUGCUCUGCCCCCUCCCCCCUCC
This is a long non-coding RNA of Alligator sinensis (Chinese alligator), 447 nucleotides long. RefSeq lists it as uncharacterized. Lineage: Eukaryota; Metazoa; Chordata; Crocodylia; Alligatoridae. The transcript has 3 exons. The record is from RefSeq and is a predicted model, not a curated record.